Molecule: non-coding RNA, 84 nt
Organism: Mycena galericulata
Lineage: Eukaryota; Fungi; Basidiomycota; Agaricomycetes; Agaricales; Mycenaceae
Source: the annotation of a GenBank genome assembly
GGACCUGUUGUGUAGUGGUUCAUCACAUCUGCUUUACAAUCUUUGUGGCGCAGAAGGUCCCCAGUUCGAUCCUGGGCGGGUUCA